GACGAACGCUGGCGGCGUGCCNAAUACAUGCAAGUCGAGCGAAGUUUUUCUGGUGCUUGCACCGGAAAAACUUAGCGGCGAACGGGUGAGUAACACGUAAAGAACCUGCCUCAUAGACUGGGACAACUAUUGGAAACGAUAGCUAAUACCGGAUAACAGCAUUAACUGCAUGGUUGAUGUUUAAAAGUUGGUUUUGCUAACACUAUGAGAUGGCUUUGCGGUGCAUUAGCUAGUUGGUGGGGUAAAGGCCUACCAAGGCGACGAUGCGUAGCCGACCUGAGAGGGUGAUCGGCCACACUGGGACUGAGACACGGCCCAGACUCCUACGGGAGGCAGCAGUAGGGAAUCUUCCGCAAUGGGCGAAAGCCUGACGGAGCAACGCCGCGUGAGUGAAGAAGGAUUUCGGUUCGUAAAGCUCUGUUGUUAGGGAAGAAUGAUUGUGUAGUAACUAUACACAGUAGAGACGGUACCUAACCAGAAAGCCACGGCUAACUACGUGCCAGCAGCCACGGUAAUACGUAGGUGGCAAGCGUUGUCCGGAAUUAUUGGGCGUAAAGCGCGCGCAGGUGGUUUAAUAAGUCUGAUGUGAAAGCCCACGGCUCAACCGUGGAGGGUCAUUGGAAACUGUUAAACUUGAGUGCAGGAGAGAAAAGUGGAAUUCCUAGUGUAGCGGUGAAAUGCGUAGAGAUUAGGAGGAACACCAGUGGCGAAGGCGGCUUUUUGGCCUGUAACUGACACUGAGGCGCGAAAGCGUGGGGAGCAAACAGG
RNAcentral lists this ribosomal RNA (768 nucleotides) under uncultured bacterium. RNAcentral describes it as "bacterial SSU rRNA". It matches the Rfam family "Bacterial small subunit ribosomal RNA", at positions 28 to 776 of the family's 1533-position model. The record is from RNAcentral.